Homo sapiens (human) is the source of this 2230-nucleotide long non-coding RNA. NCBI's taxonomy places the organism in Eukaryota, Metazoa, Chordata, Mammalia, Primates, Hominidae. The record is from Ensembl.
AGGGGACCAAGCCUACCCCGGGGAUGGAAAAAUCCGGCUGAGACGGCCUGGGCCGCUGCCACGCGCGGGCGUUAUUCUCCACCCACCUGCGGCCUGAAGAUGCCUGAGGCCCGGACUCUCAGACCCCUAUUGCCCUUUGGUGCUGGAGGCCCAGCGGCAGCCUGAAGCCCAAGAGAGUGGAGCCUCGCGAAAUGAGGAACCUGGCACAAGGUUUGCUUGGAAGCAGGAACGACGGAGUGUGGCUACGUGCCCUAUUUGCCAUUAACGCUUUCUUGCAUGGCAGUGAGAGAUGAGGGCAAGGGAGGUGGCAUAAUGCUCCCGGCCGCUUGGGACUCGGAGAGACGGCAUUUAAUAAAUCACACGCGGUAUUUGCGAAACAGUGGUCGAGAUUCGUCUUCCCGGGUUCAUUGCGUCAUUAAUAGGCGGGAACAGUGCCCCUGUGUUGAGGCUGCAGAGGCCCUAAUUGGUUUUCCCAAGACAGAGGGGCAUAUGAGAUUGAACAAAUAUUUGUUGAAUGAAUGAACAAAGGGAACGCCUUUUAGGGAUGUUUCUGGGGGAAAGGCCUGAGGUUCUCCAGGAGGGUCUGCAGCUAGGGUCGGCCGUGGGGGCUCGCAGCCCGCGGGACCACCGGACCUGCAAGCGUCCCCCUGCCCCGCCCCCGCCUCGGCGCUCUGAGCAAUUGGACUCUGCCAGCUCUAACUCCGGCGGGACUCUGAAACUCAGAGACAGGAUUUCACCAUGUUGGCCGUGCUGGUCUUGAACUCCUGACCUCAAGUGAUUUGCCUGCUUUGGCCUCCCAAAGUGCUGGGAUUACAGACAUGAGUCACCAUGCCCUGCCUGCAGCUUCUUCUUGAAGUGUUCUGGACUUGGAAGAUUUGUUGAAUUACUAUGAAGUCACAUCUAAAGUUUGAAAGAGAUCGGGUCUCACUAUUUUGCCCACGCUGGUCUUGAACUCCUGUCCUCAAGCAGGAUAUCCUCCUGCCUUGGCCUCCCAAAGUUCUGGGAUUACAGUCUCGCUCUGUCGCCAGGCUGGAGUGCACGCUGGAGCGCGAUCUUGUCUUACUACAACCUCUGCCUCCCAGAUUCAAGCGAUUUUCCUGCCUCAGCCUCCCGAGUAGCUGGGACUACAGGGACGCACCACCAUGCCCAGCUAAUUUUUGUAUUUUUAGUAGAGAUGUGGUUUCACCAUGUUGGCCAGGAUGGUCUUGAUCUCUUGACCUCGUGAUCCACCCGCCUCGGCUUCCCAAAGUGCUGGGAUUAUAGGCAUAAGCCACCACGCCUGGCCUGAAAUUAUUUUUCUAUACAGUUCUUAGAGGAAGUGUUUGGGUCACCUACAUAGGCAUGUAGUUCUUGACACUGGUUACUAGAGGAUUUAUAGAGGAUGUUCAUAUAUUCAACAAGCAUUUGUUGAAUACCUAUUAGGUGCUAGCCAUGGAAAUAUGGGAUUGAAAAAAACAGACAAAAAUCCCUAAUCUCUCUUACAAUCUAGUGAGGACAAUCAGACAGUACACAAAAUAAGCAUAAUAUAUAGUAAUCAUGUGGUAGUAAGUUCUAUAGAGCAAAAACAAGUUUAAAGAAGGAGGUUGGGGGGAGUGUUGAGAUGCAUAAGGUUUGCAGUUAUAAAUGUGGUGGUUAGGGAAUCAUUUGCUGAAAAAUGAACAUUGAGCAAAAACCUGAAGGAUGUUAAAGGAAUAAGAUACAUGUAAUCCAGAUGAAAGUUUUUUGGAUAAAGGAAAGAGCAAUUGCUAAAUCCCUGAGGUGGGAGUGGGCUGUUCAUAAGACAGCAAAGCAGCCAGGGUAGCUGAGUGAUUGACAGCGGAAGAUGGAAAAUGGGGAAUAGUUGGUGUAGGACCUAGUUGUGAGGAUAUUGACUUUGUUUUUUUUCCAAGACAGAGCUGUGCUCUGUCGCCCAGGCUAGAGUGCAGUGGCAUGAUCUUGGCUCACUGCAAUCUCCGCCUCCCGGGUUCAAGCAAUGCUCCUGCCUUAGCCUCCCCAGUAGCUGGGAUUACAGGCACCUGCCACCAUGUCCAAUUAAUUUUUGUAUUUUUAGUAGAGAUGGGGUUUCGCCAUGUUAGCCAGGCUGGUCUUGGACUCCUGACCUCAAGUGAUCUGCCCGCCUCAGCCUCCCAAAGUGCUGGGAUUACAGGCGUGAGCCACCAUGCCCACCCUAGGAUAUUUACUUUUAUUUUGAAUAAGGAUGCCACUGGAGGCCAGACGUGGUGGCUAACGC